Molecule: ribosomal RNA, 489 nt
Filed under: uncultured bacterium
Lineage: Bacteria
Description: partial 16S ribosomal RNA
Rfam family: Bacterial small subunit ribosomal RNA
Source: RNAcentral
AAUGAACGCUGGCGGCAUGCCUUACACAUGCAAGUCGAACGGCAGCAUGACCUAGCUUGCUAGGUUGAUGGCGAGUGGCGAACGGGUGAGUAAUGCAUCGGAACGUGCCUUUUAGUGGGGGAUAACGUAGCGAAAGUUACGCUAAUACCGCAUAUUCUCUGAGGAGGAAAGCAGGGGACCUUCGGGCCUUGCGCUAGAAGAGCGGCCGAUGUCGGAUUAGCUAGUUGGUGAGGUAAAGGCUCACCAAGGCAACGAUCCGUAGCGGGUCUGAGAGGAUGAUCCGCCACACUGGGACUGAGACACGGACCAGACUCCUACGGGAGGCAGCAGUGGGGAAUUUUGGACAAUGGGCGCAAGCCUGAUCCAGCCAUGCCGCGUGAGUGAAGAAGGCCUUCGGGUUGUAAAGCUCUUUCGGCUGGGAAGAAAUCGAACCCUCUAAUACAGGGUGUGGAUGACGGGACCAGCAUAAGAAGCACCGGCUAACUACGU